Molecule: ribosomal RNA, 775 nt
Filed under: uncultured Neocallimastigales
Lineage: Eukaryota; Fungi; Neocallimastigomycota; Neocallimastigomycetes; Neocallimastigales
Description: partial large subunit ribosomal RNA
Rfam family: Eukaryotic large subunit ribosomal RNA
Source: RNAcentral
UACUAGAGUAGCACUCGCAUAUCAAUAAGCGGAGGAAAAGAAACUAACAAGGAUUCCCCUAGUAACGGCGAGUGAAGCGGGAAGAGCUCAAAUUUGAAAGUCUUAAAGGGUUUCCCUUUACGAAUUGUAGUUUAAAGAAGUGUUUUCUGUUGAGGUUUUGGUAAAAGUUCUUUGGAAUAGGACAUCAUAGAGGGUGAGAAUCCCGUAUUUGACCUUUACUUUCAACUUUGUGAUACACUUUCAAAGAGUCGGAUUGUUUGGGAAUGCAGUCCAAAAUGGGUGGUAAAUUUCAUCUAAAGCUAAAUAUUGGCGAGAGACCGAUAGCGAACAAGUACCGUGAGGGAAAGAUGAAAAGAACUUUGAAAAGAGAGUUAAACAGUACGUGAAAUUGUCAAAAGGGAAGCGUUUGACACCAGUGUUGUUUUUCUGAAAAUCAAUUAAAGAACUGUUUAUGCUAAGCUGUUUAGACUUUAUCAGCUAACUGCUUAGUUUUGAGCUUUUCUUUAAUGCACUUUUCAGUUAACAAGUCAACAUCAAUUUCUUUUGCUGUAAAAAAGCUUGAGGAAGGUGGCUUGAGAUUCGUCUUAAGUGUUUAUAGCCUCUUGCCUAUGCAGUCGGAGAGAUUGAGGUCUGCAGCGUAGAUCCUUCGGGGCUAAAUGCAUUUGUGCUAAGUUAUAGCAUUUUAUAGACAACUUGUUGACUAUGAUUUGUCUUGUAGCUUACUCGCUUAUGUUAUUUUACCUACGCUUAGGAUGUUGAGUAGCGACAUACGCAC